GACUCUCUCUCUUUACACUAACAUUCACCCAUUUCCAAGACAUCUCUCUUUCUCCCUCUUCAUCUUCUUUCUUUCUUUCUCCUUCUCUAGGGUAUAUAGCUCUUUCUCUGAUCUUUGGAUCAGUUCAAGAAAUCGACUGCCUACGCUACAUAUAUAUAUACUCUUCAUCAACUUGCAGCAAGAAGUGUCACUUACAUACAAUAAAGCAAUCCCAUCUCAGUUAAUCUUCAAAUGGGAACUUUCUCUUUCUCUCUUAUUCAUUAUCCUUUUGUUCAUCACUCAGGAGACUGAUCAAGAUUAUUAUUGUCAAUGGAGAUGGAAUCUUGCGUCCCACCAGGCUUUAGAUUUCACCCAACAGAGGAAGAACUUGUGGGUUACUACCUCAAGAGAAAGAUUAACUCACUGAAAAUUGAUUUAGAUGUUAUUAUUGACAUUGAUCUCUACAAAAUGGAGCCAUGGGAUAUACAAGAGAGAUGCAAGCUAGGGUAUGAUGAACAAAAUGAGUGGUACUUCUUCAGCCACAAGGACAGGAAGUAUCCCACCGGAACAAGGACUAACAGAGCCACUGCUGCCGGAUUUUGGAAGGCAACAGGAAGGGACAAGGCCGUGCUUUCAAAGGACAAAAUUAUAGGGAUGAGAAAGACCCUGGUUUUUUACAAGGGGCGUGCACCCAAUGGAAGCAAAACUGACUGGAUCAUGCAUGAAUAUCGACUCCAAACAUCUGAACACGGACCCCCUCAGGAAGAAGGAUGGGUGGUCUGUCGAGCAUUCAAGAAACCAAUCCCUAACCAAAGGCCAAGUUAUAUUGAAGCUUGGGAUAAUCAUGCUUAUUGUGCCAAUAUUAGGCCUCCAUCAUUUUCAGAUACACUAACCACUACACAUAUGGCCAUUCAUCCGAAUCAAACUGCAAGUUUUCAUCAGCAGCUGCCCUUUGGCUCGGACCCAGCAGAUCAGCUGGUUUCCAGCCAUCCAUUUUUGGAGAAUAACCAGCUCAUUGAUCUCCCACAACUAGAUAGCCCUAGUACACUUUCAACAAGCUUUGCAACCAGAGAAGGUUUCCACAAUAACAAUGGUGUUUCUAGUGAAGAUUUCGAUGAACAAAGGAGCAAUAAUAGCAGUACCCAGUUCAUUGACUGGAAAAAUUUAGAUAGUUUACUUGCAUCGCAAGUGAACAAUUCAACCUCUUCUUUUCCUGCGCCAAAUUUAUUGCCAUCUAUGCCACAGAGCUAUGAGCUCAGCCAUUUUCCUGGUUGCUUUCCUGAUUCACAAUAACGAGAAAACAAAAAGAUUAAGGGAAAGACCCUAUACCACUUAUUGCUGCAUACCCCAUAUCGUAGAAUAAUAAGUGCUGCAGUAGAAGCUAAGUUCAAGGUCCAUUGUAGAAGGUAUCAAAGAAGAAAUUGCAAGCUGAUCAUUAUCAUGUAAGUAGAAGAGGAAGUAGAAGAAGAUAACAUAUGAAUUUGUUGUGAUAAAGAAGGAAGAGUUCACAUGCAAAUUGAAUAUCUUCCCCACAAGUUUUAGAGUCAUCAAAAGGUGAAGCUGUUAACUCACGUUUCUUAAUUACGUCUGGUUAAUUAUGUUUCUAUUUCAUAAUUGUAAAUGGUUUAUCAUUGCAUUUGCAUGCAUAUAUGUACUUAUGAUCUUGUUUUUCGUCACAAUCAAUGUUGUAUUCUGCACUAAUCAUAAUGUUUCUCUAGCCGUCUUUCUUUUUUCAUUCUUGCUAGACUUUGUUUGGUGAUGAUUAUAUUUACUUAUUUGUACUUAUGUCGAC
Molecule: unclassified non-coding RNA, 1771 nt
Filed under: Hevea brasiliensis (rubber tree)
Lineage: Eukaryota; Viridiplantae; Streptophyta; Magnoliopsida; Malpighiales; Euphorbiaceae
Source: RNAcentral